UACUCCAGGUCCUUCUUGUCUGGAGCAAACAAGCAGAUGAGACAAACCAAACACAGUGCCAAAAGUUUAUUUCAAAGUGAAUCCUAGAAGCUCACAUGGGUAAAGAGUUGGGAGCAAAACCCAGGCCCUGCGCUGACGUCAGUCUCCUAGCUUCCCACCAUCCUGCAGGGACACAACGCUUAACACUGGGGGAUGGUGGAAGGGCACAGAUGGACCCUCUAUCCCCUUCCUGCUGCUUGCUGCCAUCAGUUCCGGAAGUGUCUUUUGUGGCUUCAAAGCCAAGAGCCAGCUGUUUGUUUUCUUCACUCUUCCCAAGAUCAUUAAUGCCACUGACCACUGGGGGAAGGCUGGAAGCAGUCAGACGAGAGCCAGCUGGAUGGACGGCAGGAAGAAUGGUGCAGUCCCAGGUGUCAGGGUGGCACUGUGUACCACUGUGGGCUGCUGCACAGAGAUCUGAAAGAAAAGCAAGACCAGGAAGCCAGCCUGAGCCCUGGAAGCCACUCGGUCCCCAGCCUGUGAGUGCCUCGCAGUGCAGUCCCCUGCCCACAAGGAGAACCCACUUCAGUGACCCACACACAUAGGAAGCCUGGAAGCAGAUGGUGGCUCCCUGGUUAUGAGGGGCCCCGCUUCUCCCUGUCUUUUUUCUCUCACUUUAUUAGCAUGUUGCUUUCCUCUUCACAGUCCAAAGAUGGCUGCUGGCACUUGAGCCAAAACAGUCAAGUUACAGGCAAGAAGAAUAAAUAAAA
This is a long non-coding RNA of Octodon degus (degu), 746 nucleotides long. RefSeq lists it as uncharacterized. The record is from RefSeq and is a predicted model, not a curated record. The transcript has 3 exons. Lineage: Eukaryota; Metazoa; Chordata; Mammalia; Rodentia; Octodontidae.